CCUCUCUUUGAGCAAGUCUUCUCUCUGAUUCUGAGUGAAGAGACUCACCGUCAUGUGAUGAUUGCUCUGGAUACUAUCUGCUCUACAAUGGUUGUUUAGGCCCAGUCACAGUCUCAAUAAUCUCGUGGAUGUGGUAGUCGAGAUAUGCGGAUAUGCUCCUAUUGCAAUAAAAUGGGACAUGAUCCGUGCAUCAAAUAUA
This 199-nucleotide long non-coding RNA is filed under the name Elaeis guineensis (African oil palm). Its description in RNAcentral is "long non-coding RNA (EGUI_LNC023038)". The record is from RNAcentral. Lineage: Eukaryota; Viridiplantae; Streptophyta; Magnoliopsida; Arecales; Arecaceae.